CCAAUAGCGUAUAUUAAAGUUGUUGCAGUUAAAAAGCUCGUAGUUGAAUUUCGGGAUCAAUAUAUCGGUCGUGCCAUCGGUACGUACUGGUAUGAUUGGUUUCUCCUUUCUGACGAACCAUGAUGUCAUUAAUUUGGUGUUAUGGGAAGUUAGGACUGUUACUUUGAAAAAAUUAGAGUGUUUAAAGCAGGCUUUAGCUUGAAUACAUUAGCAUGGAAUAAUGAAAUAGGACGUUCGAACCUAUUUUGUUGGUUUCUAGGAUCAACGUAAUGAUUAAUAGGGAUAGUUGGGGGCAUUAGUAUUCAAUUGUCAGAGGUGAAAUUCUUGGAUUUAUUGAAGACUAACUACUGCGAAAGCAUUUGCCAAGGAUGUUUUCAUUAAUCAAGAACGAAAGUUAGGGGAUCGAAGACGAUCAGAUACCGUCGUAGUCUUAACCAUAAACUAUGCCGACUAGGGAUCGGAUGAUGUUAAUUUUAAUGACUCAUUCGGCGCCUUACGGGAAA
RNAcentral lists this ribosomal RNA (503 nucleotides) under uncultured Glomeromycotina. Its description in RNAcentral is "SSU rRNA". It matches the Rfam family "Eukaryotic small subunit ribosomal RNA", at positions 591 to 1097 of the family's 1831-position model. The record is from RNAcentral. Lineage: Eukaryota; Fungi; Glomeromycota.